Non-coding RNA from Tinamus guttatus (white-throated tinamou), 103 nucleotides. The record is from RefSeq and is a predicted model, not a curated record. NCBI's taxonomy places the organism in Eukaryota, Metazoa, Chordata, Aves, Tinamiformes, Tinamidae.
CCUUAGGUCUGAAUGCUAGAACUGCUGCUGGAAGCAGGAAAGAUGAUGAUUUUAAAUCUGCAGCUACUGCAAGAGUCACUGCAAGAGGAAAUGUACUUUUUUA